UACGUAGGGGGCAAGCGUUGUCCGGAUUUAUUGGGCGUAAAGAGCGUGUAGGCGGCCAAGCAGGUCAGCUGUGAAAACUCGAGGCUCAACCUCGAGACGUCGGUUGAAACCGCUUGGCUAGAGUCCGGAAGAGGAGAGUGGAAUUCCUGGUGUAGCGGUGAAAUGCGCAGAUAUCAGGAAGAACACCCGUGGCGAAGGCGGCUCUCUGGGACGGUACUGACGCUGAGACGCGAAAGCGUGGGGAGCGAACAGG
Molecule: ribosomal RNA, 253 nt
Filed under: uncultured bacterium
Lineage: Bacteria
Description: partial 16S ribosomal RNA
Rfam family: Bacterial small subunit ribosomal RNA
Source: RNAcentral